CACAUUACACAGGAGGAUCAGAAGGAUUGUUCAAUCUAAAUUCAUCAAUCUAUCAAAGUCGGGGCUCAAAAUGGGUUUGGCUGGUGAGAGACAGUGUCUAUAACAGUGUGAAACAGGGAACAUUCUUAUAGGAUGCUCUUUUUAAAAAGGUUUGUCCAUUGUCUGAAAUAUCUGCUGGUGAUAUAUCAUUUAAUUAAUUGACUUACAUCAGCUGCAAAUGUUUAUUCGAAAGAUUGUCCAUGUUGACAUCCAAACUACAAAUCUCAAAUCCCAAGCUUCAGUGAGAAAGUCUUAUUUCCACAACAAAUGAAUAAAUACAUGCUGUUAUUUAACAAAGAAAUAGAAUAUAGUGAAGCUGGGAAGUGAAGAAAACAUAAAGAAUAAUGGAUCUGGACAUACCACAGUGCUUCUGGGAGAAUCACAAUGAAACCCAAGCCUUCCUGAGUGAAGUCGGAGCUCAUUGGUCCAUGAACAUUGAUGAACCAAAACACUGAGCUAAAAUACAGCAAGCAACAGGAACUGCUGAACACUGAACUAUUCUGAAGUGAUCUAUUAGUUAAAGCAUGAAGUGUGGAGAAGGUAUUGUGGUAAAUUCUGUUAAAUGUCCUAACCCUAGUAGGCAGAGUAAAAAAAAAAAAGAUGAGGUCUUCACUCCAACACAUGCAGCAGAAACAUGGUCUGAAAACUUUCCAACCACAAAACUGCCAUGCAUCCGUUUCACCUUUUAACUACAGAGAUCUCUGACAACCAACUUCAUUUUUCUUCUGCUCCUGACCCCCUUUUACAAAUUUCAUACAUAAAUAUAUUCAGUAUAAAUUCAAUUCUCAAUCAAAUUCAAUUCUAUUCACAGAGCAGUUCAUACCAGUGGGAAUUAUACCGAAUGAGAAGAACAGUUCAACCAACAAUAAUACAUGAAAUUUUGACAAUUAAAAAAUCAUAAAGCAUAAAGUUUUUUCCCUGUAGAAUAUUAACAUAAGUACAGUAUAACUAACUAAUAUUUAAAAUAAAUUAAUAAAUAAAUAAAACCACAAAUUACCAUUAAUUUGGUGAUUGCUUACAUUUUUUUUUCAUUAUUAUUAAUAAAAUCUCUUUUAAAUUCAGAUACAGGAGAUUUAAGUAAAGUCUCCAUUUCCGUUAGGUCUCACUGUUGACUCAGAGAAAGUAAAGAUAACAAUAAGAUUGUUUUAUAGGUUUUUUCUUUUAUGCUACUACAGUGGCUCUAUAAAUACACUGACCACACAUAACCCAGCAUUCGAUUCACCCAACAUUUCCUUUCCGUCUCUCUUCUGAUGCACAAUGGUUGAGUUUGGAGCUCUGCCUUUAUUUCUCUGUGUUAUGGGUUUGUUCUCGGAGUCUCUGUGCUUUGUAACUUUGGAGGUAGAAGUUGGAGAUAAUGUCACUAUUUGGUGUCGACAUGAACUGAUUGUUUCAGGUUACAUACACUGGUUUAAACACACGUGUGGUUCAGCUCCUCUUAUUAUUGGGUGUAAACAGUUUUUUGGAUCAGUUCCAUCACAAAACUGUUUCUUCUUUAAUGAAAGUGAACGCAUGGUGGUAUCUGUUCAGGGCGAGAACACGUCUCUCACCAUCACUGCAGUGAACGUCUCUGAUACAGGACUUUAUUACUGCAGCUCCACUGAUCUGAUGCGAAUUACAUUUCAUGAAACGAACUACUUGAGAGUGAAAGGGGGAAUUAAAACGAAGAUCUCAGACAGAGAAACAGUAGCAGCAGGUUCAUUCUUUUUGACUCUGAUCUUUGUGGUGAACGUGAUGUUUGGCUCAGCAGUUGUGAUUCUUCUCGGUGUCCUGAUCUUCAUCAUACUGAAGCACAAAAACACACAUGGAGGU
This is a non-coding RNA of Silurus meridionalis, 1848 nucleotides long. Lineage: Eukaryota; Metazoa; Chordata; Actinopteri; Siluriformes; Siluridae. The record is from the annotation of a RefSeq genome assembly.